UACGUAGGUGGCAAGCGUUGUCCGGAUUUACUGGGCGUAAAGAGCGCGCAGGCGGUCGUUCAAGUCGAGUGUGAAAGCCCCCGGCUCAACUGGGGAGGGUCACUCGAUACUGAUCGACUCGAAGGCAGGAGAGGGAAGCGGAAUUCCCGGUGUAGUGGUGAAAUGCGUAGAUAUCGGGAGGAACACCAGUGGCGAAGGCGGCUUUCUGGCCUGUUCUUGACGCUGAGGCGCGAAAGCGUGGGGAGCAAACAGG
This 253-nucleotide ribosomal RNA is filed under the name uncultured bacterium. RNAcentral describes it as "partial 16S ribosomal RNA". It matches the Rfam family "Bacterial small subunit ribosomal RNA", at positions 524 to 776 of the family's 1533-position model. The record is from RNAcentral.